CUGGCGGGAACCCUCUCGCCUAGCCAAUGCCACCUGUGGGGCCGUACUGCUAAGUGCGCCCAGCCUGGCACAAUAGGCGUGAGUCACGGCGUGGAGGAACUGGUCCUGUUGGAGCGGAAGGUGAUCGGUCAGGCAGUCGAGGCUGGACACUCUCAGAGGGAGUGCAGUCCCUCCCCUUUCCGCCUCUCCCCUCCACCCCCACCCCCUUGCUUCAGCGCUGGAUGCAGAGCUGGACCUCUGCAAAACUGUAAAGCGGAAGAAAUUUGGGCCCGCCCAUCGACUCUUACUGCACUGCGUCCACCCUCUUCUCUCCAAUUUCGUUUCUCUACGUCUCUGUCUCUCCUUGCCUCUCCCUUCCCCUUUUCCUCGCCCUCUCCCUGACUCCCCCGACCCCACGCACUCAUACGAGGACCCAUACUGUGUGAAAGAUGCGCACUGUAGCAUCUCAUGACUUAAAGGUCAUCCAGCCCCAUCCUCCCACUGCUGCUUGAACAAUAUGCUUAACACGUAGUGCCGCAGUCGAUGCUGGGGAAAACUCAAACCGCCCUGGAAUGCUUGACACUUUUCCUGAAUACAACAGAACAAGACCAGCAGAAGGAAAUGAUCUGAGAAUGUGCUGAGGAUGUGUUGUGAUCCAGAAAAGUCAGCUGGAGUCAGACCUAUGGUGCUUUUGCCCAUGCUUUUGGUGUCAAGUCCAAGAAGUCAUCACCAAAUCCAGUGUCACAAAAUUUCCAGUUUUCUUUUAAGAACUGUAUAACUAUUCAUACAUUUCUGUCUUUGAUCCAUUUUGAGUACAUUUUUAUAUAUGGAAUAUGGUAAGGGUCCAAUGUCUGUCUUUUCCAUGUAGAUAUCAGUUAUCCCAGCACCAUUUGUUGAAUAAUGUCCACUGACUAUGCAUAGUCAUGGCACCCUUGUCGAAAAUCAUUUGUCUAUAUAAACAAGGGUUUAUUUCUGGGAUCUCUACUCUAUUCCAUUGGUUUAUGUUAGUCAGAUUUCCAUCCCUGUAACAAAGUACCUGAUGUAAAUCACUUAUAAGGAAGAAAGACUCAUUUUGGCUCAUGGUUUCAAAGGUUUCAGUCCAUGGUCAGCUGGAUCCAUUGCUUUUGGAUCUGUGUCAAGGCAGAACAAUAUGGUGGGAGUGCAUGAUGGGCCACUUCAUGGCAGCCAGGAAUCAUAAGAGAGACCCAGGAAGGGGCCUGAUCUCAAUAUCCUCUUCAAUGAUCGAACUUCUUCCCAGUAGACCCCACGUCUUAAAGUUUCCAUAACUAUCCAGUAGCUCCACAGGCUGGCAGCUAAGUCAUUAGCAUAAUGGCCUGUGGAAGACAGUUAGGAUCCAAGCCAUAACAGUGUAUAUAUGGUUUUAUGGUAGUAUCACACAGUUUUGAUUACCAUACUUUGUGGUGGUUAGUUUUGAAAUCAGGACGUGUAAGCCUUCCAACUUGGUUCUAUUUCAAGAUUUUUUUGACUAUCUGGGGUCUCUUGAGAGAGCCUGUGAAUUUUUCUAUUUUUGCAAAAUCUCAUCUUUGAGAUUUUGAUAAGGAUUUCAUUGAACAUGUAGAUAGUUUGGAAGUGACAUCUUAACAAUAUUAAGUCUUCCAAUUCAUGAACACAGGAUGCUUUCCAUUUGUAUGUCUUCUUUAACUUUUUUCUACGG
Molecule: long non-coding RNA, 1654 nt
Organism: Sciurus carolinensis (gray squirrel)
Lineage: Eukaryota; Metazoa; Chordata; Mammalia; Rodentia; Sciuridae
Exons: 4
Source: RefSeq, a predicted model, not a curated record